AUCUACAAUUUUUGCACAAACAUACAUAUCAUAUGUAUAUAUAUACAUAAGUACAUGACAAUAUAUGUAUAUAAACAUCUUGCUGCUCAUCCAUACAACUUCACUUCCAAUGGCGAAAUCACCUGCUCUGUUCCACGCUUCCCAUUUCUUCAUCCGCUCUACACUCAUGCCUUCUUCCAAAUCACUCUCUCUCUUCCUUCCACUCUCAAAUCUCAACCAUCUUCACAGGUUUGCCUUUCGUAAUUCACUCUCUCCCCUAUCCCUCCGCACAUUCUCCACCACCACUCUAUUCCCUCUCCAAUACGAAUUGAUUAUCAACCGACCGUCUUAUCCUUCUCCGCCCCAUCAGAAUCCACGAACACCCGCCAGAGUCAGCUCCGACAACUCUCCCGAGCUCAACUCCUCCGAGGACCCCACUUCCGAAUUGGGGUUCGACAGCUGGGUCGAUCGGAAGCUUAUAUCCGAGGGUGGGACUGUUUCUGGUAAGGAAGGUGUAGUCAUGGAUAAGGCUAUGAGAAAAUACUAUAAUAAAAGAAGGAAGAGGAUGUAUGGGUCGGAUUCUGAUGAAGAUAAUAGGACGCAGGCUGAGGGAUUUGUGGAAUUAAAGCCUGAGGUGGUUGAAUUUAACACAUUGCAUAAGAGAGAGGAGGAGUUGUUCUUUCAUGACGCUUUUGCGUAUCCAUGGGAGAAAGAUAAGCAUUACAAAAUGUUGUAUCAAUUGGAGAAGAAGUAUUUUCCUGAUGACGGUCUUGACAAAGCUUUUCUGGGACCUGGAGAGUCAAAUGUGGAAGUGAAUGAACAGACAAAGGGAAGGCAGGGGGUGAGAAAGGCAGGGAGGGUAAAGCCUGAGAUGAAUGUGGAGGUCGCCAAUGGUAUGGAUGACAAACGGAUGGUUUUCUUUGAUGAGGGGAAACCAGAAAAGGAGAAUAAAGGGUCUGUAGUAGAUGUAUCAGAGAAGAAGGUGGAGGAGUUCUUCAAGUGUUUGAAGAAAGGUCCUGCUAAAGAUUCUAACAUUGGUCAGGGGGAGCCAUAUCUUUUGACGAGGCAUAUGGAGCUCCCGGCUAAAUGGGAUAGUCCUUGUGGGACAGUCGUUUUGCUGAACAAACCUAAAGGGUGGACUUCAUUUACGGUAUGUGGAAAACUUCGGCGCCUAGUCAAAGUGAAAAAGGUAGGUCAUGCAGGUACUCUUGAUCCUAUGGCUACUGGUUUGUUGAUAGUGUGUGUUGGUAAGGCAACGAAGUUGGUUGACAGAUAUCAAGGCAUGAUUAAGAGCUACAGUGGAGUUUUCCGUUUAGGAGAGGCUACUUCAACUUGGGAUGCUGAUUCACCCAGGAAUCAUUAUUCUAGUCUUAAGGGAGAAGAUUUAUGGUUCCAUAUUUUAACCAAUCAAAUAUUUGCCUCUUGCAAGCCCGGUCACAAUAGGCAUGGUAAUUCAGCGAGAGCCUUGGGAGCACAUCAAAGAUGAUGACAUACAAAAAGCUGCUGCCUCUUUUUGUGGGGAAAUUUGGCAAGUUCCUCCCAUGUUUUCUGCCAUUAAAGUUGGAGGUGAAAGGAUGUAUGAGAAAGCAAGAAGGGGAGAAAGUAUUGAGCUUUCCCCUAGACAGAUAUCAAUUUUCAAAUUUGAUAUUGAGCGUAGUUUAGAUGACAGGCAAAAUUUGAUUUUUCGAGUUACAUGUUCUAAAGGAACAUACAUUCGGUCACUUUGUGCAGAUCUUGGGAAGACUCUUGGCAGUUGUGCUCAUCUAACUGCUCUUCGAAGGGAUUCAAUAGGGCAAUAUCUAGCAGAUGAUGCCUGGGAAUUCAAAGAGUUGGAAGAUGCUAUUACCAAAGGUUAUUUUUAGCUUUAACGAUCUCAACAUUUUUAGCUGGGGAUCGGUAUUAAGCACCCACUGACGUUUCUCGUGAGUUGUGUGAAUCUUGCACCAUCUUCUGAUAAAGAAGCAUUUUCAGAAUGCCAUGGAGAAGAGAAGAGGAUGAACAGUCUGUUUAGGGGGAAGGAGUUGUUGGACAGAAAAUGAUUAGAUAACAUGAUUAAUUAUCUAUUUACAGAUUAGUUAACCUCUUUGUCACACAAUAACGUUUUGGUAAGGAUUUUUUUGUUUUAAUUUUUUUAAGUUUUGAUAAUGUCUCUUAUCAAAAAAAAAGUUUUGAUAAUGUCAUGUAUACGUUGUUCAAUUAAAAGGUGAUUUGUUAUUAGGAACUAUAGACGACUUUUAAGAAAUAAUGAAAUAACAUCACCAUUCUUUCGUAGAAGUGGGCUUACUUUAA
RNA transcript from Cucumis sativus (cucumber), 2268 nucleotides. RefSeq lists it as uncharacterized. NCBI's taxonomy places the organism in Eukaryota, Viridiplantae, Streptophyta, Magnoliopsida, Cucurbitales, Cucurbitaceae. The transcript has 10 exons. The record is from RefSeq and is a predicted model, not a curated record.